AAGGGAAUCUUCGGCAAUGGACGAAAGUCUGACCGAGCAACGCCGCGUGAGUGAAGAAGGUUUUCGGAUCGUAAAACUCUGUUGUUAGAGAAGAACAAGGACGUUAGUAACUGAACGUCCCCUGACGGUAUCUAACCAGAAAGCCACGGCUAACUACGUGCCAGCAGCCGCGGUAAUACGUAGGUGGCAAGCGUUGUCCGGAUUUAUUGGGCGUAAAGCGAGCGCAGGCGGUUUCUUAAGUCUGAUGUGAAAGCCCCCGGCUCAACCGGGGAGGGUCAUUGGAAACUGGGAGACUUGGGUGCAGAAGAGGAGAGUGGAAUUCCAUGUGUAGCGGUGAAAUGCGUAGAUAUAUGGAGGAACACCAGUGGCGAAGGCGGCUCUCUGGUCUGUAACUGACGCUGAGGCUCGAAAGCGUGGGGAGCAAACAGG
Molecule: ribosomal RNA, 429 nt
Filed under: Gemmatimonadota bacterium
Lineage: Bacteria; Pseudomonadati; Gemmatimonadota
Description: Gemmatimonadetes bacterium partial 16S ribosomal RNA
Rfam family: Bacterial small subunit ribosomal RNA
Source: RNAcentral